Podarcis lilfordi (Lilford's wall lizard) is the source of this 77-nucleotide non-coding RNA. NCBI's taxonomy places the organism in Eukaryota, Metazoa, Chordata, Lepidosauria, Squamata, Lacertidae. The record is from the annotation of a GenBank genome assembly.
GCCGUAGCUCAGUGAUAGUGCAUUUGUUUUUCACACAGAAGGUCCUGGGUUCAAUCCCCAGAUCUCUAGGUAGGGCA